Molecule: transfer RNA, 87 nt
Filed under: Candidatus Falkowbacteria bacterium CG11_big_fil_rev_8_21_14_0_20_39_10
Lineage: Bacteria; Candidatus Falkowiibacteriota
Description: tRNA-Ser
Rfam family: tRNA
About the family: Transfer RNA (tRNA) molecules are approximately 80 nucleotides in length.
Source: RNAcentral
GGAGAGUUCACCUAGAGGCCUAUGGUACUUGCUUGGAAAGCAAGCGGGUGAAAGCCCACGAGGGUUCGAAUCCCUCACUCUCCGCCU